GCACGCGCACACUGUGGGCCAGGGAGGGGCGGGGCUGCAGCUGCAUCUCACACACACUGUCUGCGAAGCUGCUGCUGCCUCAGCUGCAAUGUUGCAUCAGUGCCUCUGGACAAGUGUUUGGGCAGCAAAACCCGUCCCUCACGCUUGGUUCAGAGGGACGGAGUUGUGGCUCCUCUCACUGUUUAAGGAGUGAGGUUGAAGCCAGUGAUGGAAGUGCAGACACAGACACGCGGCUCUGAGUUAGUGUGGGCUUGAUGCUGCACAGAAUGCAGCCGCUCUCAAACUGUCCCUGCAGCAGCAACGUGAGGCCGAUGGGCUUUGGACAAAUGGCAGUGGCCACAUCCCAGGAGUUUAAAAUCUUUCAUCAUUUUACCCCAAUCUUCACACGUGACCACUGCUUUGUUUUACAAGUGGCCACAACCUAUACGUGUUGGCUUCAAUGAGCUGACAGGAACUUCAACUUGGGGAAGAGAGAAAGCGGGAGAGAGCGAGAGAGACUUCACUGAGGACCGUGAUGUGCGCGGUGCCGGGACCCUCGAGUUGUCCACACCAGCCGUCGCCGACAGCACACAAUGAUGUACACAAGCGUGAGGAAAAAGAGGAGGAUGCCGCUCGCAUUUCAACCCAAAUGCAACUGAAACUUCCAGGAAGGAGAAAAAAAAUGUUCAAAGUCACAAUUGCCGGCUCUGCCAAUCAAGUCGUCAUAGCGAGCACCGCUAAGACAGGUUCCUGAAGAAAACUACCUGUGACCACAAGUGAUCAACGUAGAACGAGCUACAGACACUGUGGGAGAAGAACUCGAUGGAUCCCAUCAGAUGGUUCCCCAAGCAGACAGAGGAACUCGCCAACAGUAGUGUGAGGAGCCCUCCCAGUCAGACCCUGCCUGCUCGGUCAGUAAAGCACCCCACUGCACGCUGCCAUUGAGGUGGUUGUGGUGUGGACAACAUUCACCUCCUUAUGCACUGGGUGUUUGACAGGAAGGUCAGAAGAAGAAUGGAAGGGCUCUUGUCAUGGUUCACCCUGAGCAGUUGUGCAUCAGUGAUCUAUGAGCUGUUCACAGGGACGCACAACAAGAUAAAUGUCAACUGCUGCUGGAAGAUCAUUAUCUCAGCGGUAGACUCACGUUGGUCUGCCCAAAAAUUGAUCUUCCUGCAUAAGAUGUGGGUAAAUGAAUUGCUGCCGACUGGCACAUUCCAGGGUGUGAGAGUAUGUGGUGUGUGGGACACACUGAAGCUCAGUGCAGUCAAUGCAGCGGCUGUGGGGGAGUGGGCUUGGUCUAAGGUCCGGCCACCACUAGACACUGAGGGACUCUCAGACACUUCAUGGGAGCACUGUUUAAGGAUGUGUUGUUC
Long non-coding RNA from Amblyraja radiata (thorny skate), 1352 nucleotides. RefSeq lists it as uncharacterized. The transcript is spliced from 3 exons. Lineage: Eukaryota; Metazoa; Chordata; Chondrichthyes; Rajiformes; Rajidae. The record is from RefSeq and is a predicted model, not a curated record.